RNAcentral lists this long non-coding RNA (6536 nucleotides) under Sus scrofa (pig). RNAcentral's name for it is "lncRNA (ENSSSCG00000052751.1)". Lineage: Eukaryota; Metazoa; Chordata; Mammalia; Artiodactyla; Suidae. The record is from RNAcentral.
UAUUCAAAAAUAUGUAUAAUGCCAUGAUUCUUGAAAAAAAAAAUGGGAAUUUUUGAAGUGUAGACCUAGGCAGCAAUACUGAAUCAUAUUUCCUAGGUGAAAAUGUAUCAGUGGCUUCCUCUUGCUUUUGGGGGUUCUGUCCCUAACAGAGCUUACAAGGCUGAGAAGCUUUGGUCCCUUCCUAGCUCACCUCAUUCACUUCCUGGGCUUCCCUGCCUGCCUCUUAACCAUCCACCCAGGAGGGCCUCCUUUUAGUUAGUCUUCUUUCUAGAGCUGUCUCCCAACAUAGCACUAGUGCACGGGUGGUGUUCUCCACUCAGAAGCCUUCCUAUGCCCCCUCUUCUCCUCAGCUUUCUCUUUCCUCUUGGAGGCCUUCUCCUACAUUCCUAUGUUAGUCAAUCCCCCAUAUAACCCUUCUCUUACCAUCCCGGAGCUGCUUUGUACCACCUACCACUGUGUCAUACUUAGUCACCAUAGGUCUUUUCCAAUAUUCCAGAAGUAAAUGAGGCAGGAAUUUUGUUCUUAUUCAGGAUGGUAAUAUACCCGGCACAUAGUCAGCACCCAGAUAUUUGCUACAUGACUGAAAGAAUCCCACUGUACCACUCUUUAUUCCAGACCCCAAGAAAUUUAACAAAAACCUCAUUUUCUGGUCAACAUUCCUCUUCUUCAAAAUACAGACCAUGUCAAGUUAUUUUGGGGUAUGUACCUUCCAUUGUAUUUGUCUACCCAGGAUGUACAAUAACAAAAUAUUACUGGUUUAUAAUGCCCUGUAAAUGUGCCUUGUCUAACAAGGGUGUCAUACAAAAAUUGUGUAUUUUCUGUUCUACUUUGGCAUUCCAUUUGGUAUUAAUAAUCAUAAACAACCCCCUCUGAAGGUGGUUUUUCCUCAAGGUGAUUUGGCAAACACUAAUUCUAUAGCCACAGGAAAGCACCACCUCCUUUUUAGGAGCCUUCCCUUCAUUUCUCUGAGCAGCUAUGUUGUGUUAAAUCCUUGGUGUCUCAAGGGGCUUUCUGCCAACUAGAAACCAGUGAUUAUAACUUGAUACAGUGCAAAUGCUAUCAAGAAACUUCUGUCAAUCCACUUCUCCUAAGUACUUACCUUGGUUGGAUAGCAAAGGCCAUAUAUUUAAAAUAAAUAAAGUAAAAUGAAGUACUAAUGCAAUGAUCUAAUCUAGUUAAGAGAAAUUACCUAAGUAAUGAUUAUUUUGGAAAGGGAUCAUUCUGUUCUGGCUUGGAAUGGACUUGCAUUUCCACAUGUCACUCUGUCAGCCUUCCUCAUUAUUGUCACUGCAGUUAUCAGCAUAGUCCAAGCAUUUCUAUCUUAUCUCUUACCUCCCCCUUACUGUCCUUAGCCAUUUGGAACCACUACCUAGGAGCUCUGGCCCUAGAAAGGACUGAGUGGCUGCCUUUCUGAAAUCAGCUGGAUACAAUCAAGAGAACAGAACAGGAGCCCUUUGCGUUUCUCACUUUGAGAAGGCUCUUGGAAACUUCCCAAGUCCCAACUCUCAGGUUAUUGUAAAUUCCUUGUGUUGUCAAAGGGACCAAUCACAGACACAGAGACAAAAUUGUCUGUCAAGAUAUUUGUAAAAAUAAGCAUGGGCUGAUAGGUUUUAUUACUGAGUAAACUGUUACAUCUUUAAUUUCAUAUUCGAAGCUACAGGGUACUCCAGACUUAAUAGGUAUAAAUGAGGUAAAAUGGACUAUCAUUAAAUCACAUUGAACUUCAGAGAUAAAUAGUUCGUUUAUUAUCUAAUUUAGUUUUCAUAUUGCUUGUGUGCUUGCAGAAAAUGGAAACAAAGCUGCUGGUAUUUUAGAAAGUUUCAAGAUGGCCACUGUCAUCUAAAUUAGAACUUUGGCUUGUUUCCAGUUUGUGUAGAACCCUGGCCCUUUCUGUAAUAACAAUAAUAACAAAUGCAAACCUAAAACAGUCUUGGUCUUGAGUUUGCAUUCCAUCCAUCUUCUUUGAAAUGUUAAACAGCUGGUUUUAAGAAAAAAAAAAUCAACAUGUUUGGAGAGAAAAAGGCAGCCCACAAAAUAAAUCAGGGUCAAGCGUUGUUAUUUCACGGGUAAUUAUAAAGCAGUCCAAUUUAUUAGUAAAUCUUGCAUCAUGCUUAGUUAUAGCCACAAGCAUGGCAAUUGUUCUUCGGCUCACAUUGGAAAGUGGCUAAAUUACAGGGUUUCGGAAAAUAUGGGGCCAACCAUCAUGGCAAAGAAUGCCAUGUGAUCUUGUCAUACCUUGCUUCCCUAAGUUUUCUAUCUUGCAAGUGAAAUUGUGUCUUUGUAUAGUUCAUUUUUCCAAUUAAUUCAUGAAUUUUUACCAACAGUUACUUGGAAACAAAAAGACGCCCACAAUAAAUUAUUGAAAAGAAAAUGCUUGCUAGUUUAAUUGAAGAGCAGAUGGUUGGCUCAAAGGGUCUUCUUACUGUGUUUCAAUAUCACAGCAAGGAAGAGGGGGACAGGUUGCAGUGGCCCUGUUCAGCUAACACAAACAACUUGGAGGAGGGUGAGGCACAGCAUUUUGAGAAAGCCAACUACUUUCUGGCUUUAAUUACAGUUUAGGAAGACUCUUCAGCCUCUCUUUUCAAGCAAAAGGUCUGACAAGGUAUCUCUAAACAAGUCUUCAAGAAAAUAUAGACCCAGGUCAAAAACAUGGAGUCCAGAGUUUUUAGACCAGGCAAUACCAAGAUUUAAAGCGAAGUCAGCUUCACUUUUUCUCUCACAUAACUACAAACAAAUAGUACUUUUAUCCCAUAAGGAAAUGCUCACUUCUUCACUGAUUGCUGAAUAUUUGUCUCCUUCACAGAAACCAGAAAUCUGGUUCUAUGAAACAGGUCCCUCUCCUAGUGCUCUAAGUUCCUUUCUUCUGUUUUUAUCAGGUCACGCAGAUUAAGGUACCCAAAUUUAAGAUGGAUACCCAAAUAAAACAGAAUCAGUUUAAUUGUGAAAUUCAGAAAUUAAACUAGAACACCAAAUUCAGUCAUUUCUCUUUGGGAAAUUUGCAUAUAUAAAUGAGUUGUUUAACUUAUUUUCUUCUGUCCAAUACAUUAAACCCAGCAUCAAAUACAGCUUAGUCCUGCUGUAAUUUUUUAAAAAGGAAUUUAGUCCAUAUCCAUGUGAAGCCAAAUAUCUGGAUGGGAAUUAGAGUCUUUAAUAAAACACAAAAACCAAACCAAACCUGAGUGCAUUGUUCAACUCCAAACUUCUGCUUAUAUUAGAAAUAAAUUACCUGACAAUUAUCUGGAUAAUUGCCCAAAAAUCUACAAGUGAGUAAAAUUUGGGUAGAUGCUACAAAAUCUUUAGAUUAAAAAUGCAUGCAGUCUCACUCAUGGGUGUAGUCUCUGAUCAUCAACCAGAGCCUACAUAUUUUUAUUUCACUUAGAAUUCUAACGAACUUGGCUAACUCAGUUCCUGAAUUGCAAUAAUUUAUACAAUUGUGAGUAGAAGAAAAAAAACUACUUGAGGCAGGAAUGGCAGUAGCAAAAAGAAGUGAUAGUUGACGAUAAGGAAAAUGGCAGAAGAGCUCUUAAAGAAUUCAAAAGACAUUUUAAACUAGAUCUAUUUAAUGUGGGAUCAAAGGCUCAUGCCCUAAGGCUAUUUAUUAUUUCUCAAACAUCUCUGGUCAUAAGAAUCACCAGGAAGGCUUGUUUAAACACUCAGCUUUUCCAGUUCUUGGAGAUUCUGUCUGAUUCAGUGUGUCUGGGAUAGGACCCAGGAAUCCGUACUUAACAAAUAAUACAAACAACAUUCAGCAGUGUUUGGCAAAUACUGUUUUGGAAGUAUCAGAGCUUAAACAAGCAAUAGCUCUAAGACAUUAAGAAGAGGCUUAAUCAUAUGCCUCACCCUGUUUAAAUGGUUAAAGGAUAUUUUGACCAUAUUAUUUAAAUAUUUCUGUCAACAAUGGGAUAUUUUAAGGGGUAAGUCUUAGUAAGUGUAAGAUUCACUUUUCUGUCACUGAUCAUUCCCUAACAGGUGGCUUAUUGAGAAAAAGUAGUGUAGAGAGCCAUCCUCAGUGAAGAACCUGUGCGGACUGUGAAUGACAUGAUUUGGACUAAGCAUAAAUAGCUUUUUUUCAUAAUUGUUAUUUUCAAAUAGGAAGGCAAGUACCUGUAUAAAACCUAUUUUUUAUCAUUUCAGGUGGGAUUUCAGUGGAAAUGGCCUUUAUUUGUAUAAUUGGGGAAUUACUGUGGAAUAUCUUUGAAGAUUUUGUCCCCACUUUUCAGUAAAGAUUUUGGCACUAAUUUCUCUCAAUCUCAAAUGCCGCUAUCCUUUAGGAUACUCCAGUAUCCAUUUGGAUGACCUCCCUGGCUAACAACCUAGACUUUGAGUUCCUUGUACUCAGUGUCUCUGUGACAUUUGUCUGUAAGCCACUUCAGGUAGACCAUUCCAUUGUCACACACCAGAUCUUGUUAUAACCCCAGUCUUCUUCCAAGAUAUGGAAUUCAACCGUCCUGCUACCAGGAUGUUUGAAUUUUGUAUCCUGUUCUUAUAUUUGCUUUUUUCCUACCACACAGUUUCUGGGAAAGGUGGGAACUUCUGACCCCUUGUUUCUUCUUAUCCCUCUAAACAAGUCUGCUUUGUCUUCAUGUCUUUCCCAACCCAAUUUAGAUAUGCUGUCCGUGUCCUUAACUGUCUUGUCCUUCUAUCAUAACUUUUUGGAAGAGUCCCCAUGCUGGGUAAAUCUAAUUGGACCAAUCUUAGAUCAGUGCAGUUAUACUGCUUGUGAAAAUCAAACAGAUUUGAAGAUAGAUGCAACUGUAUAUAAAUGAUCUCCAAAAUCACAUCCCUCAACAGGGCCCAGCCAUCCUUCUAGAUAUCCUUACUUGACUCUCUCCAUUGAAUCCGUGUUGUGCUUUCAACACUUCGAUAUGUUCCUUGUACCUCCUAUCUUUCCUUCUCUAUUGUUCUCAACAGAUAAUCUUGUCUGUAACUUCAAAGAAAAAAUGUGCGCCAUCAUAAAGAGAAGCUGUCAACAAUGUGCCAUCUUUCGAUUGUGAUGAUACUUUCUUUUGUCUGUAGUAAAUGUUGCUACCAUGGUCUGGAACAAUCUCUUUUUACUUCAGUCUCUCCUGACUGCUCAGUUUUCACAGUUCAGAUAUUUAUCAUUAAAAAGAAAACAACCCUACAUACAAACUUUCCUUCUCCCUCAGAACUCUUCCACUUUAAUCUAGUCUCUGCUUCAUGGUCAAAUUUACUGAGUUGUGCAUUUGAGUGUCUUUAUUUCUCACCUUUACUUAAACUCAAACCUAAAUAACUUGGCUUUUGAUUCUAGGGCUCUGUUAAAUUUGUUCUUGCCAAAUUAAUGGAUCUAUUUAUUUAUUAUUAAGUCCAGGGCACAGCUUUUAUUCCAUACUUGACUUAAUUUUUAAGAAACAUUGGAACUAUAUAGAUCAUAAAUUUCUUUUAUUGGCUUUUGAAACCUUACAUUCUUCUUGCUUUUCUACUACUUCUCUUUAUCUCUUUUGCAGCAUCUUGUAACUACUCUUUAAGUCUAGUUUUCCUAUGGUCCCAAUCAUUGAUCCUUUAGUUUCCUCACUUGAUACACCAAUUAAUGCUGCAGUUUCUAUAGCAUCUAUAUUUUGAUGACUUUCAACUCACAUCUUCAAUUCCUGUGCCUCUGUUAAGCCCAGUCCUUUCUGUAUAACCAGUUUCCUUCUGUAGAUUGGUUGCAGAUACCCACUGCCACAGUUCUCAUCCAUACCACAGUCAUGUCUCACUAGGACCACUAAAAUAGUCUCCUAAUGGCCUCUCAGCCUCCAGGCUUGACCACCCCUCAUCUACAUUUUCAUUAAGAUGAUAUCUUAAAAUGCAAAGCUGAUCCCAAGAUUCUGUUGGAAAAUUUCUGGAGGCUUCUCAUUGCACUCAAGGUAAUGGACUAUGAGUUACAAGGUACUCCAUGAUCUCCAACAACCCACCUUAAUUACAAAGAAGAUCUUCCAUGAGUUCCGAGCCUUAGCCAUAUUAAAAAUAUUUAUUUUUUGUGAUUGAACCAGGAUGUGUACCACUUCUAGGCUCUUUUAUACUGUAUGUUCUUGGCCUGGGGUACUUUGCUGCCCUGACUUCUAUACUUAUACUCUUUGGGCCUUUCUCUAGAAAUUCUUACUAAUCAUUAAAUUGGGCCAGAUGACUGUGCUCUGUGCUCCUGUAGCAAGUUAUAAUUCCCAUCUUUUAUUCAUCAUUCUAUUUGUGCUUCCCAUUAAGCCAACUGAUCCUUGGGAAGGGGGACUAUAUAUCUUGGUCAUCACUGGGGCAUAGUUCCUAGAUCAAACUAUGUGCUCACUUAAGAAUAGGUCUGUGGGAGUUCCUGUCGUGGCUCAGUGGUUAACGAAUCCAACUAGGAACCACGAGGUUGCGGGUUCGAUCCCUGGCCUUGCUCAGUGGGUUAAGGAUCUGGCAUUGUCACGAGCUGUGGUGUAGUUCGCAGAUGCGGCUGGGAUCCCGCUUUGGCUGUGGCUGUGGUGUAGGCCAUCGGCUACAGCUCCGAUUGGACCCCUAGCCCCUGGGAGCCUCCAUAUGCUGUGGGAGCGGCCCUGGAAAAG